AGCGAACGCUGGCGGCAGGCCUAACACAUGCAAGUCGAACGAACCUUUCGGGGUUAGUGGCGGACGGGUGAGUAAGACGUGGGAACGUGCCUUUAGGUUCGGAAUAACUCAGGGAAACUUGUGCUAAUACCGAAUGUGCCCUUCGGGGGAAAGAUUUAUCGCCUUUAGAGCGGCCCGCGUCUGAUUAGCUAGUUGGUUGAGGUAAUGGCUCACCAAGGCGACGAUCAGUAGCUGGUCUGGGAGGAAGGUCAGCCACAUUGGGACGGGGACACGGCCGAAACUCCUACGGGAGGCAGCAGUGGGGAAUCUUGCGCAAUGGGCGAAAGCCUGACGCAGCCAUGCCGGGUGAAUGAUGAAGGUCUUAGGAUUGUAAAAUGCUUUCACCGGUGACGAUAAUGACGGUACCCGGAGAAGAAGCCCCGGCUAACUUCGUG
RNAcentral lists this ribosomal RNA (434 nucleotides) under uncultured bacterium. RNAcentral describes it as "partial 16S ribosomal RNA". It matches the Rfam family "Bacterial small subunit ribosomal RNA", at positions 29 to 507 of the family's 1533-position model. The record is from RNAcentral.